RNAcentral lists this long non-coding RNA (3607 nucleotides) under Homo sapiens (human). RNAcentral's name for it is "HSALNT0118320". The record is from RNAcentral. Lineage: Eukaryota; Metazoa; Chordata; Mammalia; Primates; Hominidae.
CCGCCUGCCUUGGCCUCCCGAAGUGCUGGGAUUACAGGCGUGAGCCACCGCGCCCGGCCCGGGUGGGUAUUUAUCCACCUAAACAUAUAAAAUAUAUUUUUAGGCUGGGUGUAGUGGCUCACACUUGUAAUCUCAGCAGUUCAGGAGGCAAAGGCGGGAGAAUGGCUUGAAUCCAAGAGUUCAAGACCAGCCAGGGCAACAUAAGGAGACUGCGUCUCUAUUUUCUUUCUUUCUGUUUUUUUUUUUUUUUUUUUUUUUUUGAGACACUGUCUCCCUCUGUCACCCAGGCUGGAGUGCAGUGGCAUGAUCUUGGCUCACUGCAACAUCUGCCUCCCAGGUUCAAGCAAUUCUCCUAUCUGAGCCUCCGUAGUAGCUGGGACCACAGGUGCACACCGCUACACCUGGCUAAUGUUUUGUAUUUGAGUAGACAUGCAGUUUCACUGUGUUGCCCAGGCUGGUUGCGAACUCCUGAGCUCAGGCAGUCUACCUGCCUUGGCCUCCCAAAGUGCUGGGAUUACAGGUGUGAGCCACUGCGCCUGUGUCUCUAUUAAAUUAAAUAUAUAUAGAUACAUAUAUAUAUAUAUUUAUUUAUUUUAAUUUUAUUUUAUUUUGAGAUGGAGUCUCGGCUCACUGCAACCUCUGCCUCCUGGGUUCAAGCUGAUUGUCCUGCCUCAGCCUCCCGUGUAGAUGGAAUUACAGGUGCGGGCUACCACACCUGGCUGAUUUUUGUAUUUUUAGUAGAGGUGGGGUUUCACCAUGUUGGUCAGGCUGGUCUCGAACUCCUGACCUCAGGUGAUCCACCCACCUUGGCCUCCCAAAGGGCUGGGGUUACAGGCGUGAGCCACCGCACCCAGCUUAUUUAUUUAUUUAUUUAUUUAUUUAUUUAUUUAUUUAUUUAUUUAUUUUAGAUACAGUCUAGCGCUGUGGCCCAGGCUGGAGUGCAGUGGUGCUAUCUUGGCUCACUGCAACCUCUGCCUCCCAGGUUCAAGCAAUUCUCCUGCCUCAGCCUCUCAAGUAGCUGGAAUUACAGGCACUUGCCACCAUGCCCAGCUAAUUUUUGUAUUUUUAGUAAAGAUGGGGUUUUGCCAUGUCAACCAGGCUGGUCUCAAACUCCUGACCUCAAGUAAUCUGCCCGCCUCGGCCUCCCAAAGUGCUGGGAUUACAGCCAGGAGCCACCACACCUAGCCUUAAAUACAUAUAUAUGUAUGUAUACAUAUAUAUACACACACAUAUAUAUACCCAGAAACCGCAAUAAAUAUAUGUAACACCAGAAUAUAUAAGUAUAUAGUAUAUUGAGAUAUGUAUAUAUACACACACACACACAUGCCCCCACAGGAAAUACAUAGUAUUAUGUGGCGUUUAUGUUUUUAUUGUCUUCCAGUACGUUGUUUUAGGAACUCUCCAUCUUAGGGCAUGUAAAUUCCUCUUUUUUUCCCCUUCCUUACUCAAUCUGCAUAUUCAGAGCUGUUCGGGGAGAAGUUAGAAACCAAGGGGACAUAUUCUGGGGUCUCUAGCAAGGAUAGAUUUGUACUGAUCCCUAACCUAGUUAACCUCCUGCCCCUUUUUUCUAACCUUAAAGUGAUUAAGGGUACCUAACUCCCAAGCUGGUUGUGUAGGUCGUCCGUGAGUUAAGGUAUAUACAUCACACGAAGAGGGUUUUUGUUUUGUUUUGUUUUGAGACAGAGUCUCGCUCUGUCACCCAGGCUGGAGUGCAGUGGCUCAAUCUCGGCUCACUGCAACCUCCGCCUCUCGGGUUCAAGUGAUUCUCCUGCCUCAGCCUCCUGAGUAGCUGGGACUACAGGCAUGAGCCACCACGCCCAGCUAAUUUUUGUAUUUUUAGUAGAGACAGGGUUUCACCAUGUUGACCAGGCUGGUCUUGAACUCUUGACCUCAGGAGAUCUGCCCACCUUGGCCUCCCAAAGUGCUGGGAUUACAGGUGUGAGCCACCACACCCAGCCCUGAAGAGGGUUUUGAUCUAUUGUAGGUUUCCAGUAACUUUUAGUCCUUGUUGGUAUCAAUAUUUUGUCUUGCUAACGCUGAUGUUUUCAUUUUUGCCCUAGGAGGCUUGACUCAACCUGCCGGACACUAAAGGACAUCACUCUGAGCCUGAGGGAGGGGCUCUCCUUUGGUCUCCCUCUUUUGUCCAGCCUUGCCCCAGGAUAUUUUUCUAAGCUGAGUUAGCCACUAGGCACUCCACAUCGCUGCCCGCAUCACCACGCUGCGGCAUCUGCUGUUGCAUCUGCGAUCCACAAGGCCUACACCAUUCGCCAUCGCACCUGGCUGUUUGUUGCAGAUAUUUCUCAGACCUCCUGCUUGAAGCCUGAAGUGUUCCAAGCAUAGAGAUGAUGGACGUGGUAUGGGACAAUCAGUGCACCCGCAGGAGGGGACGGCGGGAACCAAGAUUGGAAGGAACAUGUAGGUAUACUCACAGGUCCAGGGAGGGGUCUCACCAAAUGCCAUGAAGGGCCAUAGGGGAGUGCCAGGUUUGGUCAGGUGGCAGAAGCCUGAGCCAGAGCCUGCACUGGGGUUUCUUUUCUAUAUUUAUUUAUUUAUUUAUUUAUUUAUAUUUAUCUUUUUGAAAUGGAGUUUCACUUUGUUGCCCAGGCUGGAGUGAAGUGGUGCGAUCUCUGUUCACUGCAACCGCCACCUCCCAGGUUCACGCCAUUCUCCUGCCUCAGCCUCCCGAGUAGCUGGGACUACAGGCGCCCGACACCACGCCUGGCUAAUUUUUUUUUUUUUUGUAUUUUUAGUAGAGACAGGGUUUCACCAUGUUGGCCAGGUUCAUCUUGAACUCCUGAUCUUAGGUGAUACACCCACCUUGGCCUCCCAAAGUGCUGGGACUAAAGACAUCCUCCUGGUUGAGCUCUUUGGUGUCCUGAGGAUUGGCUACCCCUGGGAGGGGGAGUUUCUUUCAGGCCAGCAAGCUUUGUAAGAUGUCAAAGCAUCAUAAAUACAGAAAAUUUUAAAAACGUAAUACAUAUAGCUUCUGUUCCUUCCACCCAGAACACUCUUCUGACCCUGGACCCCGUCCCUGCUUCACCUGACUUUCUCUUUUUUUUUUUUUUGAGAUGGAGUCUCACCCUGUCUCCCAGGCUGGAGUGCAAGGGUGCGAUCUCGGCUCACUGCAACCUUCGCCUCCCGGGUUCAAACAAUUCUCCUUCCUCAGCCUCCUGAGUAGCUGGGAUUACAGGCAUGCACCACCACGCCUGGCUAAUUUUUUUGUAUUUAGUAGAGAUGGGGUUUCACCAUGUUGGUCAGGCUGUUCUCAAACUCCUGACCUCGUGAUCUGCCCACCUUGGCCUCCCAAAGUGCUGGGAUUACAGGUGUGAGCUACCGCGCCCAGCCUCUUCACCUGACUUUCUGAUACUCAUCCCUCAAGUGUCUGAUGAAAUAUGGCUUGCUGUGGCUGGGCGCAGGAGGCGCCAAUGUGGCUUGAACCCGGGAGGUGGAGGCUGCAGCGAGCCAAGAUCACCUCACUGCACUCCAGCCUGGGCGACAGAGCAAGACUCUGUCUCAAAAGAUAUAUAUAUAGGGCCAGGCGCAGUGGCUCACGCCUGUAAUCCCAGCACUUUGGGAGGUCAAGGUGGGCAGAUCACCUGAGAUCGGG